AUGGCGGUAACUCUUUGGUCCAUAUGGCAUGCCCGGCGGAAAGCUAUCCAUGAAGCAAUAUUCCUGAGCCCUCAAGCAACCCAUGGCUUCAUCGAGAGGUAUUUGCAAGAUCUGAAUACAGCUCAGAACCAAAACAUGAUUGGCACGGUGCCACGGCCAGUUCAUGCAAUACCAAAAAACCCACCUCCUGGGCACCACAAGAUCCACUUUGAUGCGGCUGUCCACGUGAGGAGAGGUGGUUCAGCGGUGGCUGUAUGUAGAGAUGAAGGGGGCAAUUACAUUGGAAGCUCGGCCCUUGCAGUCGAGGGAGUUUAUGAUCCCCCAACAUUGGAGGCAAUAGCAUGUCGGGAAGCUUUGGCCCUGGCGGAGGAUCUGGGCAUUCAUCACUUCAUCGUGGCAUCGGACUGUCAACAAGUCAUGCUAGACAUCAACAGAAGGGCGCGCGGGGCUUAUGGCGCCGUCAUCAACGAGAUCAACACCCAAGCUUCUACUUUUUUGUGUAAUUUUUCUUUUGAAAGCCGUGCUGUUAAUUAUGAAGCACAUCGUUUAGCAAAAUUUGCACUAUCUAGAGGUCCGGGUCGCCAUGUCUGGUAUGGUGUUCCCCAUGACCAAGUGUGUAUCCCACUUCAUGUGGAGUUUGAUGAAUAA
Molecule: ribosomal RNA, 648 nt
Filed under: Triticum aestivum (bread wheat)
Lineage: Eukaryota; Viridiplantae; Streptophyta; Magnoliopsida; Poales; Poaceae
Description: partial small subunit ribosomal RNA
Source: RNAcentral